GAUGAACGCUAGCGGCAGGCUUAAUACAUGCAAGUCGAGGGGUAACACGGGUAGCAAUACCUGGUGACGACCGGCAAACUGGUGCGGAACACGUACAGAACCUUCCUUUAAGCGGGGGAGUAGCCCACUAGAAAUAGUGGAUUAAUACCCCACUAGUAAUAUUGUCUGGCAUCAGAUGGUAUUUAAAGUAUUUAUUCACUUAAAGAUGGCUGUGCGGCUGAUUAGGUAGUUGGUGCGGG
This 239-nucleotide ribosomal RNA is filed under the name uncultured bacterium. RNAcentral's name for it is "partial 16S ribosomal RNA". It matches the Rfam family "Bacterial small subunit ribosomal RNA", at positions 28 to 258 of the family's 1533-position model. The record is from RNAcentral.